This 690-nucleotide long non-coding RNA is filed under the name Marmota monax (woodchuck). Lineage: Eukaryota; Metazoa; Chordata; Mammalia; Rodentia; Sciuridae. The record is from RNAcentral.
UAGUCUACUUGCUCUCAGUACAAAGAUAUAAAAAAUUCAAAACUAGUAGGUAAAAUCAGAAAUGAAUAGAUACAUAAAGGAAUAGCUGAGAAUGUGCAAAAACAAGUUGCUUCUUCACAUAUACAGGGACAAUGCAUACCUACCCUUCUGAAAUAAGUUCUGUAUAGAAAAUUAGUCAAGGUGGAAUAUUUACUUGAGUCGAAGACUGAGAGAUUAGGAGCAAUACUGGAAUAGGGGAAAGAGCCAGUGUAAAAGCUAUGGGGCAAACUGUGAACUUGUUUUGUUCCCACUUCAAAAUGAAGCACAUGUGACUUACACUUCAUGAACAGUGAGAUAGUGGAAAAAGAUGAGGUUGCGUUUUUGCCAGUGGAUGCCACCAAGAAAGCAUUGUUAGAGUCUUCCUACUACCAUCAUCUCUAAAUCAGAGUCCCCAAAGCACCUGAACAUCUGCAGAAGCUAUUCAUCAAAGGGCUGAGCUUUGAAACAAAGGAUGAGUCUGAGAUGCUAUUUUGAGUAAUCGGGAACACUCACGGACUGUGUGGUAAUGAGAGACCCAAACAUCAAGACUGUGUGGUAAUGAGAGACCCAAACAUCAAGUGCUCCAGGAGCUUUGGGUUUGUCACUUAUGCCACUGUGGAGGAAGUGGACACAGCCNUUUAUUUAGAGACAGAGUCUCACUGAAUUGCUUAG